Molecule: unclassified non-coding RNA, 276 nt
Filed under: Hevea brasiliensis (rubber tree)
Lineage: Eukaryota; Viridiplantae; Streptophyta; Magnoliopsida; Malpighiales; Euphorbiaceae
Source: RNAcentral
CUGAUAAAAAGGAAUGUAAGAAUGAGAGUGAUGGGAUAAAAAUCAGACGCCAACCAUCUUGAAAAGAAUGAAGCAGAGGAAUCCAAGGAAGAUAAAGAGGAAUAAAUAAUCCACAAAAACGAAGAAAUUGGUUGACCCAUGAUUUCUUUUCUUCUUCUUAUUGUUGAUAUUGGGCUGCUUCGGUUCAUCGGCUAGCGGUUCAAGUUUGGCCAUUGCGUCAAAAUUGGUGGUUUGUCAGGGAUCUCUAGGGUUCCAAGAUCAGAUCUUGGAGAUCUG